RNAcentral lists this small nucleolar RNA (107 nucleotides) under Olea europaea subsp. europaea. Its description in RNAcentral is "Plant small nucleolar RNA R71". It matches the Rfam family "Plant small nucleolar RNA R71". From Rfam's summary of the family: R71 is a member of the C/D box family of snoRNAs containing the C (UGAUGA) and D (CUGA) box motifs. Multiple nearly identical copies of this snoRNA have been identified in Arabidopsis, and it is thought to function as a 2'-O-ribose methylation guide for 18S ribosomal RNA. The record is from Rfam by way of RNAcentral. Lineage: Eukaryota; Viridiplantae; Streptophyta; Magnoliopsida; Lamiales; Oleaceae.
AUCCCAUGAUUUGGACAUUUCCUCAUUAGCUUCUUAAACCUGUUUCAUACCUCAUGACAGCUCUCCCUAUUUAUUUGUUGAAAGGUUUGAAUUUUUAAUCUGAUUUU